CAUCAUAUACAUUUAUUUAGAACAAUUAUUAAUUAUUUAGGACAAUUAAUAAUUAUAAGAAAAAUAAAACAUCAUAUACAUUUAUUUAAGACCAUUAAUAAUUAAUAAUUAUUUAGGACAAUUAUUAAUUAAUAAUACAUCAUAUAUAUUUAUUUAGAAUAAUUAAUAAUUAUCUAGGACAAUUAAUAAUUAUAAGAAAAAUAAAACAUCAUAUACAUUUAUUUAGGACAAUUAAUAAUUAAAAAUAUACAUCAUAUACAUCACACAAGAAAAAUAAAAAAUAAGAAAACAAAAAUUGGCCGCUGGUGGGCCGGCCCACCGGCCCCUGCCCCUAACCCUCCCCCUCCCUCUCCCCCUCACCCUCUCCACCGGUCGCAGCAAGCACCGCCGCCGCCGCCUCGGUUGAGGAGCCCCGAGACCCCCCUGAGGCGGCUGCGCGCAGCUCCCGAGCCUUCCCCGCGUGGAGCCACAGCCGCAGGCGCAGCCCUGCCACCG
This 495-nucleotide long non-coding RNA is filed under the name Sorghum bicolor (sorghum). RNAcentral's name for it is "long non-coding RNA (SBIC_LNC006754)". The record is from RNAcentral. Lineage: Eukaryota; Viridiplantae; Streptophyta; Magnoliopsida; Poales; Poaceae.